This is a long non-coding RNA of Molossus molossus (Pallas's mastiff bat), 154 nucleotides long. RefSeq lists it as uncharacterized. The transcript has 3 exons. The record is from RefSeq and is a predicted model, not a curated record. NCBI's taxonomy places the organism in Eukaryota, Metazoa, Chordata, Mammalia, Chiroptera, Molossidae.
GAAAACUUCCCCCUGAACCCAACUGUUUUCGGGUGUUUGUCCUGGCAGGCACUGCGUGCAUUUCCCACUCUCCACUCACAGGAGGGUCGGAUCCAGCCGAGGGAGGAAAACAGGACCUCUACCCCAGUUUGGGAAGCUCUGGGCUCAAGCUGAC